Molecule: ribosomal RNA, 207 nt
Filed under: uncultured Clostridia bacterium
Lineage: Bacteria; Bacillati; Bacillota; Clostridia
Description: partial 16S ribosomal RNA
Rfam family: Bacterial small subunit ribosomal RNA
Source: RNAcentral
CGUGUAGGCGGGAAAGUAAGUCAGAUGUGAAAUUCCAUGGCUCAACUGUGGCACUGCAUCUGAAACUAUUUUUCUUGAGUGAUGGAGAGGAAAGUGGAAUUCCUAGUGUAGCGGUGAAAUGCGUAGAUAUUAGGAGGAACACCAGUGGCGAAGGCGACUUUCUGGACAUUAACUGACGCUGAGGCGCGAAAGCGUGGGGAGCAAACA